MicroRNA precursor from Macaca fascicularis (crab-eating macaque), 111 nucleotides. Lineage: Eukaryota; Metazoa; Chordata; Mammalia; Primates; Cercopithecidae. The record is from Ensembl.
CUUAUUGGCUGGAAAGGAAGAAGCAUUCUUUCAUUGGUUGGUGUGUAUUGCCUUGUCAACCAAUAAGAGGAUGCCAUUUAUCCUUUUCUGACUAGCUGAGUGAGCAGGGUG